CGGGGGGCAGCAGUCGAGAAUCAUUCACAAUGGGGGCAACCCUGAUGGUGCAACGCCGCGUGGAGGAUGAAGGUCUUCGGAUUGUAAACUCCUGUCAUCCGGGAGCAAGACCUGGCAGUGAAUAGCUGACAGGGUUGAUAGUACCGGAAGAGGAAGGGACGGCUAACUUCGUGCCAGCAGCCGCGGUAAUACGAAGGUCCCGAGCGUUGUUCGGAAUCACUGGGCGUAAAGGGAGCGUAGGCGGCGUGGAAAGUCAGAUGUGAAAUCCCAGAGCUUAACUCUGGAACUGCAUCCGAUACUACCAUGCUAGAGUAUUGGAGGGGUAACUGGAAUUCUCGGUGUAGCAGUGAAAUGCGUGGAUAUCGAGAGGAACACUCGUGGCGAAAGCGAGUUACUGGACAAUUACUGACGCUGAGGCUCGAAGGCCAGGGGAGCAAAAGGGAUUAGAUACCCCAGU
RNAcentral lists this ribosomal RNA (457 nucleotides) under uncultured Luteolibacter sp. RNAcentral's name for it is "bacterial SSU rRNA". It matches the Rfam family "Bacterial small subunit ribosomal RNA", at positions 342 to 791 of the family's 1533-position model. The record is from RNAcentral. Lineage: Bacteria; Pseudomonadati; Verrucomicrobiota; Verrucomicrobiia; Verrucomicrobiales; Verrucomicrobiaceae.